RNAcentral lists this long non-coding RNA (212 nucleotides) under Fukomys damarensis (Damara mole-rat). RNAcentral describes it as "lncRNA (ENSFDAG00000024675.1)". The record is from RNAcentral. Lineage: Eukaryota; Metazoa; Chordata; Mammalia; Rodentia; Bathyergidae.
AAGAGACAGGAGUCCCUGGCUGCUCCCACGUUAAGCUGACUCCGCGUCUCGUCAUUCAUCCUCCUUCACAGCGUCAAGGAGGAACAAAGGAUCAAGUUGAGGUCUUGGAGCAAGGCCAGCCAGGAAAUAUGAAGGAGAGGAGAAUAGGGCUCAUCUUUGUCUUCUCAGUAGAAUGGUGACCAGCAAAGUCCAAGGAUGCUUUCAUGUGCAUA